Molecule: long non-coding RNA, 481 nt
Filed under: Homo sapiens (human)
Lineage: Eukaryota; Metazoa; Chordata; Mammalia; Primates; Hominidae
Description: non-protein coding lnc-DHFR-4:1
Source: RNAcentral
CAUGCCGUCAAUUAAGAUGCUGAGUUUUGAUGCGGAGAUAUUUGAUGUGGAAAUUGCCAAACAAUCUGUGACUAUCAAGACCAUGUUGGAAGAUAUGAGAAUGGAUGAUGGAGAUAACGACCCAGCUCCUCUACCAAAGUUAAUGCAGCAAUAUUUUUAAAAGGUCAUUUGGUGGUGUACCCACCACAAAAAUGGCCGUCCUCCUCCCGAGGAUGAUGCGAACAAAGAAAACGAACAGAGGAGAUCCCUCCUUAGGACCAACAAUUCCUGAAAGUCGAUCAAGGAAUACUUUUUGUACUACUUCUGCCUGCAAACUACUUAGACAUCAAAGGUUUGCUUGAUGUUACACACAAGACUGUUGCCAAUACAAUCAAGGAGAAAAGUCCUGAGAAGAUUCGCAAGACUUCCAAUAUCAAAAAUGACUUUACUGAAGAAGAGGAAACCCAGGUAUGCCAAGCGAACCAGCGGUGUGAACAGAAGU